RNAcentral lists this long non-coding RNA (304 nucleotides) under Citrus sinensis (sweet orange). RNAcentral describes it as "long non-coding RNA (CSIN_LNC000092)". The record is from RNAcentral. Lineage: Eukaryota; Viridiplantae; Streptophyta; Magnoliopsida; Sapindales; Rutaceae.
UGUUGGCGGGUUCAGUGAGGAAUGCUUAUCACACCAAGUACAGGACUAUUUGGGGUGAAAAUCCUCCAUCUUGCCAAACUGUGAGAAAGGGAGUUUUUGCUGCAGGGGCAGCUUUCGUUUUCUUCACUGCCAUUGUCUCCGAAUUCUACUACAUUUGCUAUUCCAAGGCCAGGGAAAGCUUCCAGCCAUAUGGCGGAGAAACUGGUGUCGGCAUGGGGACCUACAAAUAAGCUGCUUUAUUGUGUGAUCUUGAAGUAAUAGCUGAACUCAAUUCAACGAUUUGCUUUAGCUUGCAUUUCAUGUC